This 87-nucleotide transfer RNA is filed under the name Anaerolineaceae bacterium. RNAcentral describes it as "tRNA-Leu". It matches the Rfam family "tRNA". Rfam says of the family: Transfer RNA (tRNA) molecules are approximately 80 nucleotides in length. Their secondary structure includes four short double-helical elements and three loops (D, anti-codon, and T loops). Further hydrogen bonds mediate the characteristic L-shaped molecular structure. tRNAs have two regions of fundamental functional importance: the anti-codon, which is responsible for specific mRNA codon recognition, and the 3' end, to which the tRNAs corresponding amino acid is attached (by aminoacyl-tRNA synthetases). tRNAs cope with the degeneracy of the genetic code in two manners: having more than one tRNA (with a specific anti-codon) for a particular amino acid; and 'wobble' base-pairing, i.e. permitting non-standard base-pairing at the 3rd anti-codon position. The record is from RNAcentral. Lineage: Bacteria; Bacillati; Chloroflexota; Anaerolineae; Anaerolineales; Anaerolineaceae.
GGGGCGAUGGCGGAAUCGGCAGACGCAACGGACUUAAAAUCCGUCGGUAGUGAUACCGUGAGGGUUCGACCCCCUCUCGCCCCACCU